This 617-nucleotide ribosomal RNA is filed under the name uncultured Moraxella sp. Its description in RNAcentral is "bacterial SSU rRNA". It matches the Rfam family "Bacterial small subunit ribosomal RNA", at positions 259 to 868 of the family's 1533-position model. The record is from RNAcentral. Lineage: Bacteria; Pseudomonadati; Pseudomonadota; Gammaproteobacteria; Moraxellales; Moraxellaceae.
AAAGGCCUACCAAGGCGACGAUCUGUAGCUGGUCUGAGAGGAUGAUCAGCCACACUGGGACUGAGACACGGCCCAGACUCCUACGGGAGGCAGCAGUGGGGAAUAUUGGACAAUGGGCGAAAGCCUGAUCCAGCCAUGCCGCGUGUGUGAAGAAGGCCUUUUGGUUGUAAAGCACUUUAAGUGGGGAGGAAAAGCUUAUGGUUAAUACCCAUAAGCCCUGACGUUACCCACAGAAUAAGCACCGGCUAACUCUGUGCCAGCAGCCGCGGUAAUACAGAGGGUGCAAGCGUUAAUCGGAAUUACUGGGCGUAAAGCGCGCGUAGGUGGUUAUUUAAGUCAGAUGUGAAAGCCCCGGGCUUAACCUGGGAACUGCAUCUGAUACUGGAUAACUAGAGUAGGUGAGAGGGGAGUAGAAUUCCAGGUGUAGCGGUGAAAUGCGUAGAGAUCUGGAGGAAUACCGAUGGCGAAGGCAGCUCCCUGGCAUCAUACUGACACUGAGGUGCGAAAGCGUGGGUAGCAAACAGGAUUAGAUACCCUGGUAGUCCACGCCGUAAACGAUGUCUACCAGUCGUUGGGUCUUUUAAAGACUUAGUGACGCAGUUAACGCAAUAAGUAGA